This 253-nucleotide ribosomal RNA is filed under the name uncultured bacterium. Its description in RNAcentral is "partial 16S ribosomal RNA". It matches the Rfam family "Bacterial small subunit ribosomal RNA", at positions 524 to 776 of the family's 1533-position model. The record is from RNAcentral.
UACGAAGGGGGCUAGCGUUGCUCGGAAUCACUGGGCGUAAAGCGCACGUAGGCGGCUUGUUAAGUCAGGGGUGAAAUCCUGGAGCUCAACUCCAGAACUGCCUUUGAUACUGGCGAUCUCGAGUCCGGGAGAGGUGAGUGGAACUGCGAGUGUAGAGGUGAAAUUCGUAGAUAUUCGCAAGAACACCAGUGGCGAAGGCGGCGCACUGGCCCGGUACUGACGCUGAGGUGCGAAAGCGUGGGGAGCAAACAGG